GAUGAACGCUGGCGGCGUGCCUAAUACAUGCAAGUCGAGCGAAUGGAUUAAGAGCUUGCUCUUAUGAAGUUAGCGGCGGACGGGUGAGUAACACGUGGGCAACCUGCCCAUAAGACUGGGAUAACUCCGGGAAACCGGGGCUAAUACCGGAUAACAUUUUGAACCGCAUGGUUCGAAAUUGAAAGGCGGCUUCGGCUGUCACUUAUGGAUGGACCCGCGUCGCAUUAGCUAGUUGGUGAGGUAACGGCUCACCAAGGCAACGAUGCGUAGCCGACCUUGGAGGGUGAUCGGCAACACGGGGACUGGGACACGGCCCAGACUCCUACGGGAGGCAGCAGUAGGGAAUCUGCCGCAAUGGACGAAAGCCUGACGGAGCAACGCCGCGUGAGUGAUGAAGGCUUUCGGGUCGUAAAACUCUGUUGUUAGGGAAGAACAAGUGCUAGUUGAAUAAGCUGGCACCUUGACGGUACCUAACCAGAAAGCCACGGCUAACUACGUGCCAGCAGCCGCGGUAA
RNAcentral lists this ribosomal RNA (515 nucleotides) under uncultured bacterium. RNAcentral's name for it is "partial 16S ribosomal RNA". It matches the Rfam family "Bacterial small subunit ribosomal RNA", at positions 28 to 523 of the family's 1533-position model. The record is from RNAcentral.